GAUGAACGCUGGCGGCGUGCCUAAUACAUGCAAGUCGAGCGAACGGACGAGAAGCUUGCUUUUCUGAUGUUAGCGGCGGACGGGUGAGUAACACGUGGAUAACCUACCUAUAAGACUGGGAUAACUUCGGGAAACCGGAGCUAAUACCGGAUAAUAUUUUGAACCGCAUGGUUCAAAAGUGAAAGACGGUCUUGCUGUCACUUAUAGAUGGAUCCGCGCUGCAUUAGCUAGUUGGUAAGGUAACGGCUUACCACGGCAACGAUGCAUAGCCGACCUGUGAGGGUGAUCGGCCACACUGGAACUGAGACGCGGUCCAGACGCCUACGAGAGGCAGCAGUAGGGGAUCGUCCGCAAUGGGCGAGAGCCUGACGGAGCAACGCCGCGUGAGUGAUGAAGGUCUUCGGAUCGUAAAACUCUGUUAUUGGGGAAGAACAUAUGUGUAAGUAACUGUGCACAUCUUGACGGUACCUAAUCAGAAAGCCACGGCUAACUACGUG
This 497-nucleotide ribosomal RNA is filed under the name uncultured bacterium. RNAcentral describes it as "partial 16S ribosomal RNA". It matches the Rfam family "Bacterial small subunit ribosomal RNA", at positions 28 to 507 of the family's 1533-position model. The record is from RNAcentral.